GACGAACGCUGGCGGCGUGCUUAACACAUGCAAGUCGAACGGAAAGGCCCCUUUGGGGGUACUCGAGUGGCGAACGGGUGAGUAACACGUGAGUAACCUGCCCUUGACUUCGGGAUAACUUCAGGAAACUGGGGCUAAUACCGGAUAGGAAUCCUUGCUGCAUGGUGGGGGUUGGAAAGCUUCGGCGGUUUUGGAUGGACUCGCGGCUUAUCAGCUUGUUGGUGGGGUAGUGGCUUACCAAGGCUUUGACGGGUAGCCGGCCUGAGAGGGCGACCGGCCACAUUGGGACUGAGAUGCGGCCCAGACUCCUACGGGAGGCAGCAGUGGGGAAGAUUGCACAAUGGGCGGAAGCCUGAUGCAGCAACGCCGCGGGCGGGAUGACGGCCUUCGGGUUGUAAACCGCUUUCAGCAGGGGCGAAGCUUGUGGUGACGGUACCUGCAGAAGAAGCACCGGCUAACUACGUG
Molecule: ribosomal RNA, 465 nt
Filed under: uncultured bacterium
Lineage: Bacteria
Description: partial 16S ribosomal RNA
Rfam family: Bacterial small subunit ribosomal RNA
Source: RNAcentral